CGUCGCCACAAAGCUAAACACAAAAGCGACACAACAGCUUCCACAUCGCAGAAGAGGUGUUAUCGUUGCCGAGCUAGCCGCCCCAGCGACCCAGCAGCGCCAAAGCGAAAGUCGCCAAAGCCACUGAAGACGAAAACAUCAGCCAAGCCACCGAGGAGCCACUUCCUUCACACGGCCAGCACCAGAACUCCUUGGAAGAGACUGCAACAUGUCAUCGUUGCUAAGCGUCGCCGCACCCCAUCAGCGAGCAGCUUCGACUUCAUCAGCAGAAACAACCGAAGAGCGUGUCUCAUCGAUGCAUUGGAACUUCUCCGAAGCGACGCCCCUAAGGAGGAUACGACGUGUGACGCCGCCGCCGCUCGUCCAAAAAUCGGAACAAGGUUUUCACCUGGAGAGAUUUGUGAGGAUAUGAAAGAGUGCCAUGACAACGCCUCCAAGGAGGGAAACGACACCCACGGGCGCGCCAUUGUCGAACCGGCCAAAAGCACGGUAAGGCUUUCGCCAGCAUCUUCACAACACCCACACAAGCACCCCCACAUCGAUGGCCGCAGAAUAGUUCAUGACGUCUCAGAAGCAAUCAUACCUUGA
RNAcentral lists this long non-coding RNA (588 nucleotides) under Oryza sativa aromatic subgroup. Its description in RNAcentral is "lncRNA OsARC_01g0021620". Lineage: Eukaryota; Viridiplantae; Streptophyta; Magnoliopsida; Poales; Poaceae. The record is from RNAcentral.